Molecule: ribosomal RNA, 492 nt
Filed under: uncultured bacterium
Lineage: Bacteria
Description: partial 16S ribosomal RNA
Rfam family: Bacterial small subunit ribosomal RNA
Source: RNAcentral
AGUGAACGCUGGCGGUAGGCCUAACACAUGCAAGUCGAACGGCAGCACAGUAAGAGCUUGCUCUUACGGGUGGCGAGUGGCGGACGGGUGAGGAAUACAUCGGAAUCUACUUUUUCGUGGGGGAUAACGUAGGGAAACUUACGCUAAUACCGCAUACGACCUACGGGUGAAAGCAGGGGAUCUUCGGACCUUGCGCGAUUGAAUGAGCCGAUGUCGGAUUAGCUAGUUGGCGGGGUAAGGGCCCACCAAGGCGACGAUCCGUAGCUGGUCUGAGAGGAUGAUCAGCCACACUGGAACUGAGACACGGUCCAGACUCCUACGGGAGGCAGCAGUGGGGAAUAUUGGACAAUGGGCGCAAGCCUGAUCCAGCCAUACCGCGUGGGUGAAGAAGGCCUUCGGGUUGUAAAACCCUUUUGUUGGGAAAGAAAAGCAGCAGGUUAAUACCCCGCUGUUCUGACGGUACCCAAAGAAUAAGCACCGGCUAACUUCGUG